CAGGCCUAACACAUGCAAGUCGAGCGGAGAUGAGGUGCUUGCACCUUAUCUUAGCGGCGGACGGGUGAGUAAUGCUUAGGAAUCUGCCUAUUAGUGGGGGACAACACUCCGAAAGGGAUGCUAAUACCGCAUACGUCCUACGGGAGAAAGCAGGGGAUCUUCGGACCUUGCGCUAAUAGAUGAGCCUAAGUCGGAUUAGCUAGUUGGUGGGGUAAAGGCCUACCAAGGCGACGAUCUGUAGCGGGUCUGAGAGGAUGAUCCGCCACACUGGGACUGAGACACGGCCCAGACUCCUACGGGAGGCAGCAGUGGGGAAUAUUGGACAAUGGGGGGAACCCUGAUCCAGCCAUGCCGCGUGUGUGAAGAAGGCCUUAUGGUUGUAAAGCACUUUAAGCGAGGAGGAGGCUACUGAGACUAAUACUCUUGGAUAGUGGACGUUACUCGCAGAAUAAGCACCGGCUAACUCUGUGCCAGCAGCCGCGGUAAUACAGAGGGUGCGAGCGUUAAUCGGAUUUACUGGGCGUAAAGCGUGCGUAGGCGGCUUUUUAAGUCGGAUGUGAAAUCCCCGAGCUUAACUUGGGAAUUGCAUUCGAUACUGGGAAGCUAGAGUAUGGGAGAGGAUGGUAGAAUUCCAGGUGUAGCGGUGAAA
RNAcentral lists this ribosomal RNA (649 nucleotides) under uncultured bacterium. RNAcentral describes it as "bacterial SSU rRNA". It matches the Rfam family "Bacterial small subunit ribosomal RNA", at positions 43 to 686 of the family's 1533-position model. The record is from RNAcentral.